Molecule: ribosomal RNA, 241 nt
Filed under: uncultured bacterium
Lineage: Bacteria
Description: partial 16S ribosomal RNA
Rfam family: Bacterial small subunit ribosomal RNA
Source: RNAcentral
CGACGUGAGGAACCUGCCUUCCAGAGGGGGACAACAGUUGGAAACGACUGCUAAUCCCGCAUGACACAUGACCGUGGCAUCACGGACAUGUCAAAGAUUUAUCGCUGGAAGAUGGCCUCGCGUCUGAUUAGCUGGUAGGCGGGGUAACGGCCCACCUAGGCGACGAUCAGUAGCCGGACUGAGAGGUUGACCGGCCACAUUGGGACUGAGAUACGGCCCAGACUCCUACGGGAGGCAGCAG